GCCUCCGUAGCUCAGUGGACCAGAGCAUCGGUCUUCGGAACCGAGUGUCGCAAGUUCGAAUCUUGCCGGGGGUA
This 74-nucleotide transfer RNA is filed under the name Anaerolinea sp. Its description in RNAcentral is "tRNA-Arg". It matches the Rfam family "tRNA". Rfam says of the family: Transfer RNA (tRNA) molecules are approximately 80 nucleotides in length. Their secondary structure includes four short double-helical elements and three loops (D, anti-codon, and T loops). Further hydrogen bonds mediate the characteristic L-shaped molecular structure. tRNAs have two regions of fundamental functional importance: the anti-codon, which is responsible for specific mRNA codon recognition, and the 3' end, to which the tRNAs corresponding amino acid is attached (by aminoacyl-tRNA synthetases). tRNAs cope with the degeneracy of the genetic code in two manners: having more than one tRNA (with a specific anti-codon) for a particular amino acid; and 'wobble' base-pairing, i.e. permitting non-standard base-pairing at the 3rd anti-codon position. The record is from RNAcentral. Lineage: Bacteria; Bacillati; Chloroflexota; Anaerolineae; Anaerolineales; Anaerolineaceae. RNAcentral also lists the same sequence under 1 other name.